RNAcentral lists this ribosomal RNA (253 nucleotides) under uncultured bacterium. RNAcentral describes it as "partial 16S ribosomal RNA". It matches the Rfam family "Bacterial small subunit ribosomal RNA", at positions 524 to 776 of the family's 1533-position model. The record is from RNAcentral.
UACAGAGGGUGCAAGCGUUAAUCGGAAUUAUUGGGCGUAAAGGGCAUGUAGGUGGCUUGUUAAGUCUGAUGUGAAAGCCCUGGGCUUAACCUGGGAAUUGCGUUGGAAACUGACGAGCUAGAGUCGGACAGAGGGCCGUGGAAUUUCCGGUGUAGCAGUGAAAUGCGUAGAGAUCGGAAAGAACACCCGUGGCGAAGGCGGCAUCCUGGACCAAUAUUGACGCUGAGGAGCGAAAGCCAGGGGAGCAAACGGG